Pan troglodytes (chimpanzee) is the source of this 4596-nucleotide RNA transcript. It is a transcript of the gene named FKBP prolyl isomerase 7, with no coding region annotated. The transcript has 5 exons. Lineage: Eukaryota; Metazoa; Chordata; Mammalia; Primates; Hominidae. The record is from RefSeq and is a predicted model, not a curated record.
GAGCUCCGCUGCGCGCGCAGCCCCGGUGCCUACCUGAGGAGGAGCUGCCCGCACACUCAUCCCGCGGGCACUUAGUUCUCUCGGGUUUUCCUGGGUUUUCUUCAGAAAUACAUAAUAUCCUGUUUCUUCAUGAAAUCCUGUUUUUAUUUUACAUAAAAUCCUGUUUUUUUUUCAAAAAUACAUAAAAGCCUUCCUAUUUCUGUUUGCUUCGUAUUUUCCUCAUAUUCAAGGGAUCUGAAAUUAUCUCCUAGGAAGGCAAUGUGCAGCAGACGGGGGCCUCUGACAAGGAAUGGCGAGGGCCCCCAAGGAACUGUCAUCACGCCGAUAACCUUGGAUAGCCACAAUUUUAUUUAGAAUAUAAAACAUGGAACUCGACUUCGGAAUUUUAGUCUAGAAAUGGGGACUUCCCCCUAGCUUUUAUGAUUUUUGAAACUCCUGCUUGGACGCAAUCGUCAUCUUGCAUAAUCGACAGUAAUUUUCAGGUUAAUGGAAUUUUGCAAACUUUAAGCAAAGCACAUCAAUCAGGCUCAGUGCUGCGGCUUUUCUUCGCAUCACCGGGGUAGAAUAGCACCUCUACUCCCAGAACUUAAUCCAGGCGAAUGCAGAAGGCCUUUGCUGGUUUUCUGGUUUGGGUAGUCUUUGGGUAUUCACUUGGAAACAAGGCGAAUUGAUGGAUGGAUAGAGUGAUGGAUGGAUAUGUAAUAAAUAUAAUAUAGUUCAAUGACAGGAUCUAGAUGGUGGGUGUAGGAGAGUUUACUGUAGAAUUCAACUUUUCUGUGUAUUUUAAAGGUUUUCAUACUAAAAUUGGUGGUGAAGUGGUGUUGUCACACAGAUUUGACCAAAUCCCUGCUGCGUAUUAGCUGUGUGAGAUUGGGACAACAUGCCCAAUACUCAAGUUUUCUUGACUGAUGUGGACAAUUACGUAUCCCAUGGGAUUGGUACAAAAAAGUCAAAAGAACAUUCCCCGCACUACCAGAGGCCCUCGAAUCAAGGGCGGCCCCGAGUGGGGGGGAAAAGAAAUGCAAGCCAGCGGAGGAUGCUGAAUUGUGGAGGUCGGCUCUCGGAAACGCCUGCAGCCAGGCAGAGGAGUUGCGGUACCGCAGUUUCGUUGCAUCGGGCUGGCCUUCAGGUUGUGCGACUUAGCCUGGAACCUCUGAAUGCAAGACUCCGACCUGAGAAUGCGCUUCAAGGACACCCCCGAAGCACCCAGAAAGCCACCGCCAGCCUAUUUUUUACGCUCCUUUUCCAGCAUGCUUCUCCCACCCCCCAGUAUCUGUCUGCUCGUUCCCUAGGGGUCUUAGAAGUCUUUUGCUUCCAGAAAUGACAACCAUAUUCCCUGACUCUACGACAUCCCAGGCUGUUUAUUUCGUCUUAUGCCAGUUUCAUUUUAGAAAAUGCGAAUGUUGUCACCGAACCCUGAGGAAACCUGCUGUAAAAUAUGCGGGUUUAGCGAGAAGAAGCGGAGCGAGUGUGCGUUGCGCUCUUAGAGACUGAGGACAGCCAGCCCGAGGGCCUAGAAACAGCGUUAACCGCGCUGAGCACGCUGCGGGAGGCGGAGGGGUUGGGGCCAUGAGAGGGCGGGGCCGCAUCUAUGGCCCCGCCCCGGCCCUUUGUGACGCAGGACAACGCCUGCCACGCGUCGGAACUCGGCCGCGGGACAUCCACGGGGCGCGAGUGACACACGGGAGGGAGAGCAGUGUUCUGCUGGAGCCGAUGCCAAAAACCAUGCAUUUCUUAUUCAGAUUCAUUGUUUUCUUUUAUCUGUGGGGCCUUUUUACUGCUCAGAGACAAAAGAAAGAGGAGAGCACCGAAGAAGUGAAAAUAGAAGUUUUGCAUCGUCCAGAAAACUGCUCUAAGACAAGCAAGAAGGGAGACCUACUAAAUGCCCAUUAUGACGGCUACCUGGCUAAAGACGGCUCGAAAUUCUACUGCAGCCGGACACAAAAUGAAGGCCACCCCAAAUGGUUUGUUCUUGGUGUUGGGCAAGUCAUAAAAGGCCUAGACAUUGCUAUGACAGAUAUGUGCCCUGGAGAAAAGCGAAAAGUAGUUAUACCCCCUUCAUUUGCAUACGGAAAGGAAGGCUAUGGUAGUACUUGAAGAAGUCUUUCUUCUGCAAAAUAUCCUUGUCUCAUGUCACAGAACAACCCUGCAUGUCUUGAAAUGCAUGUGACUUGUUAGCGCUUAAAUAACAAUACAUGCGCAGAAGGCAAGAUUCCACCGGAUGCUACAUUGAUUUUUGAGAUUGAACUUUAUGCUGUGACCAAAGGACCACGGAGCAUUGAGACAUUUAAACAAAUAGACACGGACAAUGACAGGCAGCUCUCUAAAGCCGAGAUAAACCUCUACUUGCAAAGGGAAUUUGAAAAAGAUGAGAAGCCACGUGACAAGUCAUAUCAGGAUGCAGUUUUAGAAGAUAUUUUUAAGAAGAAUGACCAUGAUGGUGAUGGCUUCAUUUCUCCCAAAGAAUACAAUGUAUACCAACACGAUGAACUAUAGCAUAUUUGUAUUUCUACUUUUUUUUUUAGCUAUUUACUGUACUUUAUGUAUAAAACAAAGUCACUUUUCUCCAAGUUGUAUUUUCUAUUUUUCCCCUAUGAGAAGAUAUUUUGAUCUCCCCAAUACAUUGAUUUUGGUAUAAUAAAUGUGAGGCUGUUUCGCAAACUUAACUUGUAGGAAUGGUAUGAUUGUGUUUCCUACUGCUUUAUUCUGUAAACAAGAAUUGUAGCACCAUGAAACAGACCUCUGGGUCCCAGUGGGCAUUUUUUCCCCUUUCAGGAUGUAGGAGGACAUGUAUAGUAUGUCAAAAACUGCAAGCUUUUCCCAACUUUAACCUUACCAGCAUGUUAAUAUCCAGUUUUUUUAUAGUUUAAAAGUUAAAGUGCCUCAUAUUUUGAAAAUAUCCAGUAAGGACCCAGGAAUUAGCAUUUCAUUUGUUUAUACAUUUUAUAACAUUAUGAAGACGAUAUAAAAAUCCUAGAACUGAAGAGUCUUCCUUUGGUAUAUGUGCAGGAAGAUAGUUGUAUAUCUCUGUUCCACAAAGAACGCAACACAGUCUCUAAACUUUUUGGUGUAAGCUUCUAGCCUUGAAUAUUUUCCAGUGGGGAAUGUUUAAAGAUAUUUGACCAAACCAAAGACUUUUUGCCUCUUAUAGCAAGCAUAAAGACUGUACUGCCUGGCUUUUGUAUUCCUUCAGACAUUAUUGUAAAUGUGCAACUCCUCUUCCCUCUUGUAAACCUUUAUAAGAUGUUUGCCACCCCAAGCUUUUGUCUUGAUAGUUUUAAAUUGAUGCCAUGAAAUUUCUUAGUUUUCGUUCCCUUUCUCUAGUUAUCUCUUUCCUUAUGUCACCUCAUUUCCCAUCAUUCUUGUCACUAAUGAUGAAUGAUCAUUACAAAUUGGUAUGCUGUCAAAUUUUGAUAAAUGUGCCAAAGGAGGAUAUACAGUGCCAUGGCAAUUUUGUGUCAUGGUCAAGUUAUGAUAUCGUAUGACUUGAGAAUAGUAUGUAAGAGAUGCUGUAGAAGAUCACGUUGGUACCAAAGAAAGGGCACAUGUCUAUUGGAACAUAGAUUUUGCAUACUGCAUGGUAUGGUCAGGCUUUGUGUCCACACCCAAAUCUCAUUUUGAAAUUAUAAUCCCCAUAAUUUCCAUAAUCCCCACAUGUCAAUGGAGAGACCAGGUGGAGGUAACUGAAUCAUGGGGGUGGUUUUCCCCGUGCUGUUCUCAUGCAAUCUGAUGGUUUUAUAAGUGUUUGGUAGUUCCUCUUGCAUUCAUUCUCCCACCUGCCACCUUGUGAAGAAAGUCCUUGCUUCCCCGCCUUCCACCAUGAUUGUAAGCUUCCUGAGGCCUCCCCAGCCAUGGGGAACCAUGAGUCAAUUUAACCUCUUUCCUUUACAAAUUACCCAGUCUGGGGCAGUUCUUUAUAGCAGUGUGAAAAUGGACUACUACACUGCAUAUAUAGGAAAGUAUGGUCAGACAGUAAAUAGCUCUGUUCAAAAUAAUUGAGUUCCAAACAAGUAAAGUUUUUUCUACCUUCUGAAACUUGCUCUUUCCAAACCAUUGUUCAUCCUUUAACUUCUUUACACUAUGAAAAAUUCUAUUUAAAAAUAGAGGGCUUUCAGAUGAGUACAUACAAAAACAAACAAAAGUAUACAUAGGGGUAACACAACCAUGAGAUUAGUAAAUAAUACAUAUGGCUAGCACAUAAUUUGACACCUUAUAAAACAAGAAUCUUUACUAUCUUUUCCUUCCUCCCAAUAUUUCUUCAUUUCUAUGCUCAAUUUUCUAAUACUUUUUCACAUGCUUAAUCAUUUACUCUUUCAUCGCCUUCCCUCAAAAAAACCUGCUCCGUUGAAGUAAACUAAGUAACUCAAUAUUCUUUAUUUUGGUUUGGAACCUGUCUCAAUUUUCUGUAUCCAUAUUAAGAAGUCACCCUAUAAUCUAAACUUUGUAAUUCUAAUUUUUUUGUCCCAUUAUCAUACAAAGUGCUUUUAAACUUGUUUUUAAAAAAUGACAGAUAAUGCCACAUGAAUAGGAAGAUGAUUCAUUCUAAAACUUGUAUUUACAUAAUUAAAAAUAAAUUUAUAAUCAUUCUACAUACAA